RNAcentral lists this ribosomal RNA (2904 nucleotides) under Escherichia coli. RNAcentral describes it as "23S ribosomal RNA". It matches the Rfam family "Bacterial large subunit ribosomal RNA". RNAcentral also lists the same sequence under 1 other name. Lineage: Bacteria; Pseudomonadati; Pseudomonadota; Gammaproteobacteria; Enterobacterales; Enterobacteriaceae. The record is from RNAcentral.
GGUUAAGCGACUAAGCGUACACGGUGGAUGCCCUGGCAGUCAGAGGCGAUGAAGGACGUGCUAAUCUGCGAUAAGCGUCGGUAAGGUGAUAUGAACCGUUAUAACCGGCGAUUUCCGAAUGGGGAAACCCAGUGUGAUUCGUCACACUAUCAUUAACUGAAUCCAUAGGUUAAUGAGGCGAACCGGGGGAACUGAAACAUCUAAGUACCCCGAGGAAAAGAAAUCAACCGAGAUUCCCCCAGUAGCGGCGAGCGAACGGGGAGCAGCCCAGAGCCUGAAUCAGUGUGUGUGUUAGUGGAAGCGUCUGGAAAGGCGCGCGAUACAGGGUGACAGCCCCGUACACAAAAAUGCACAUGCUGUGAGCUCGAUGAGUAGGGCGGGACACGUGGUAUCCUGUCUGAAUAUGGGGGGACCAUCCUCCAAGGCUAAAUACUCCUGACUGACCGAUAGUGAACCAGUACCGUGAGGGAAAGGCGAAAAGAACCCCGGCGAGGGGAGUGAAAAAGAACCUGAAACCGUGUACGUACAAGCAGUGGGAGCACGCUUAGGCGUGUGACUGCGUACCUUUUGUAUAAUGGGUCAGCGACUUAUAUUCUGUAGCAAGGUUAACCGAAUAGGGGAGCCGAAGGGAAACCGAGUCUUAACUGGGCGUUAAGUUGCAGGGUAUAGACCCGAAACCCGGUGAUCUAGCCAUGGGCAGGUUGAAGGUUGGGUAACACUAACUGGAGGACCGAACCGACUAAUGUUGAAAAAUUAGCGGAUGACUUGUGGCUGGGGGUGAAAGGCCAAUCAAACCGGGAGAUAGCUGGUUCUCCCCGAAAGCUAUUUAGGUAGCGCCUCGUGAAUUCAUCUCCGGGGGUAGAGCACUGUUUCGGCAAGGGGGUCAUCCCGACUUACCAACCCGAUGCAAACUGCGAAUACCGGAGAAUGUUAUCACGGGAGACACACGGCGGGUGCUAACGUCCGUCGUGAAGAGGGAAACAACCCAGACCGCCAGCUAAGGUCCCAAAGUCAUGGUUAAGUGGGAAACGAUGUGGGAAGGCCCAGACAGCCAGGAUGUUGGCUUAGAAGCAGCCAUCAUUUAAAGAAAGCGUAAUAGCUCACUGGUCGAGUCGGCCUGCGCGGAAGAUGUAACGGGGCUAAACCAUGCACCGAAGCUGCGGCAGCGACGCUGAUGCGUUGUUGGGUAGGGGAGCGUUCUGUAAGCCUGCGAAGGUGUGCUGUGAGGCAUGCUGGAGGUAUCAGAAGUGCGAAUGCUGACAUAAGUAACGAUAAAGCGGGUGAAAAGCCCGCUCGCCGGAAGACCAAGGGUUCCUGUCCAACGUUAAUCGGGGCAGGGUGAGUCGACCCCUAAGGCGAGGCCGAAAGGCGUAGUCGAUGGGAAACAGGUUAAUAUUCCUGUACUUGGUGUUACUGCGAAGGGGGGACGGAGAAGGCUAUGUUGGCCGGGCGACGGUUGUCCCGGUUUAAGCGUGUAGGCUGGUUUUCCAGGCAAAUCCGGAAAAUCAAGGCUGAGGCGUGAUGACGAGGCACUACGGUGCUGAAGCAACAAAUGCCCUGCUUCCAGGAAAAGCCUCUAAGCAUCAGGUAACAUCAAAUCGUACCCCAAACCGACACAGGUGGUCAGGUAGAGAAUACCAAGGCGCUUGAGAGAACUCGGGUGAAGGAACUAGGCAAAAUGGUGCCGUAACUUCGGGAGAAGGCACGCUGAUAUGUAGGUGAAGUCCCUCGCGGAUGGAGCUGAAAUCAGUCGAAGAUACCAGCUGGCUGCAACUGUUUAUUAAAAACACAGCACUGUGCAAACACGAAAGUGGACGUAUACGGUGUGACGCCUGCCCGGUGCCGGAAGGUUAAUUGAUGGGGUUAGCGCAAGCGAAGCUCUUGAUCGAAGCCCCGGUAAACGGCGGCCGUAACUAUAACGGUCCUAAGGUAGCGAAAUUCCUUGUCGGGUAAGUUCCGACCUGCACGAAUGGCGUAAUGAUGGCCAGGCUGUCUCCACCCGAGACUCAGUGAAAUUGAACUCGCUGUGAAGAUGCAGUGUACCCGCGGCAAGACGGAAAGACCCCGUGAACCUUUACUAUAGCUUGACACUGAACAUUGAGCCUUGAUGUGUAGGAUAGGUGGGAGGCUUUGAAGUGUGGACGCCAGUCUGCAUGGAGCCGACCUUGAAAUACCACCCUUUAAUGUUUGAUGUUCUAACGUGGACCCGUAAUCCGGGUUGCGGACAGUGUCUGGUGGGUAGUUUGACUGGGGCGGUCUCCUCCUAAAGAGUAACGGAGGAGCACGAAGGUUGGCUAAUCCUGGUCGGACAUCAGGAGGUUAGUGCAAUGGCAUAAGCCAGCUUGACUGCGAGCGUGACGGCGCGAGCAGGUGCGAAAGCAGGUCAUAGUGAUCCGGUGGUUCUGAAUGGAAGGGCCAUCGCUCAACGGAUAAAAGGUACUCCGGGGAUAACAGGCUGAUACCGCCCAAGAGUUCAUAUCGACGGCGGUGUUUGGCACCUCGAUGUCGGCUCAUCACAUCCUGGGGCUGAAGUAGGUCCCAAGGGUAUGGCUGUUCGCCAUUUAAAGUGGUACGCGAGCUGGGUUUAGAACGUCGUGAGACAGUUCGGUCCCUAUCUGCCGUGGGCGCUGGAGAACUGAGGGGGGCUGCUCCUAGUACGAGAGGACCGGAGUGGACGCAUCACUGGUGUUCGGGUUGUCAUGCCAAUGGCACUGCCCGGUAGCUAAAUGCGGAAGAGAUAAGUGCUGAAAGCAUCUAAGCACGAAACUUGCCCCGAGAUGAGUUCUCCCUGACUCCUUGAGAGUCCUGAAGGAACGUUGAAGACGACGACGUUGAUAGGCCGGGUGUGUAAGCGCAGCGAUGCGUUGAGCUAACCGGUACUAAUGAACCGUGAGGCUUAACCUU